GCGUGGAACGUGCAAUACUGAGACUACUGAUAUCUGAAUAACGGAAAAGGAAGUACUUAGAGCAAGUUGCUGGUUGCAUACACGGUAUUGAAUCGACUAAACAAUAUAACCAAUAAGAUUUUAACUUCUUUUUAUUCCUUAAUACCGUCAAGUCAACCUUGUUAAAAAUGCCAUUAAUCAUCAAGUGGUGGAUGUGGAGUGUGACGGUUAUUUGCUCCUGAUCCCGGAUAGUCGCCUCUUUCUAUAUCCAUCCUGCGAUUAAUCAACUCUCCAUCGAUUUCUAUGGUUUCUUCAACAUUUUGUUCUGUUGUGAUCUUCUUCAUUGAUGAAAAGACAAAAUAAAAUAAAUAAAUAAGUAAAACAGAAUUUAUAAAAAGACAUCAGUAUUAUAUAAUAGAAGUUAGCUAUAUGUUUUAUGGUUAAAAGUUCAACUUUAUGUAACAUACCUGGAAAGUAUUCCCAGGUAUUGGAAUAUCCUUUCUUUCUUGUAACAGGAGGAUAGUUCCUGUAAAUACCAACAAAUUAAGUUCAGCGAAAAAACGGAUUAGUAAGCAAAAAAAGCACACAUACCCCAGCAUGUAUUUAAGUUGGAUUGGCCAAUGUAAGAUAGAAAAACGAAUAUAACAAGUUGAAAUCUUGUCUUCUUUCCAGUACAAACAUUUAACUUAGGCUAUGAGAAUAGAAGAUUUACUCGAUGUCGGGACAGCAUUCAAAGAAAUAAGGCAAGAUAAAGCCAGUAAAGUCACAAGUAGAUGAAGUGCAUUGCCUGCCAUUUUCUACAACAUUAAGGUGUGCCACUUGUUGGAAAGGCAGUCCUUAUUUAUACAUGUAUCUUGAGAAACAAAGAAAUUAUUCAUUUAUUCUGCUGAUGUCCAAAAGGUGAAAAUAAUCAUAUUGUGGAGAGAUACCUAACAUAUUGUUCGCAUCCAUUAUCUUGAAAUAUUGUGUACUGUCUGCUCUUUUGGUUACUUUUGUGGGAUUUUUAGCAGGAUUUUAAAUUUUUUUAUGGGUCAGCUUGUACUAUAUUUCCAGUUCACUGCACACUUGCACUUCUUUUGGGGCACCCCUAGUUUUAUAUGAGGUUAUUGAGUUGGAUUAAUGGAGCACUGCGUAAUUGAAUAAAACUCAAAGCUUAAACCAGAGUGAAAAGUAGAUUCCACCAGAAAAGUGAAAGUGUGAUACUGAAGGAUGCAUAUAUAAAUUGUAGCUUUUUUGCUUUUAAAGAAAAAUAAAAUUCAAUGCUUAGUGGAAAAUUAUCUCAUGAGGAAAAAGACCGUGUUAAUGGCAUGCUUGGUUUGCUAGAUUGGUUGAAACUAGAUAUAAAAACUCACGAAUUCAAUAACAUACCUCUCGUUUUUAGCCAUGUCGAGUCAAGAUUAUCAUAUAUGUUCUCAGAAGACUAUGAGAAAUGCUGAAAAUUAUCUCGCGUUCAAAGUUGCAAGGUAUUUUGUUCCAAUAGAUUUUUAUCUCAUGCCUUUCACCGUUCAUGGUUGG
RNAcentral lists this long non-coding RNA (1494 nucleotides) under Olea europaea (common olive). Its description in RNAcentral is "long non-coding RNA (OEUR_LNC010722)". The record is from RNAcentral. Lineage: Eukaryota; Viridiplantae; Streptophyta; Magnoliopsida; Lamiales; Oleaceae.